RNAcentral lists this ribosomal RNA (490 nucleotides) under uncultured bacterium. Its description in RNAcentral is "partial 16S ribosomal RNA". It matches the Rfam family "Bacterial small subunit ribosomal RNA", at positions 29 to 507 of the family's 1533-position model. The record is from RNAcentral.
AUUGAACGCUGGCGGCAGGCCUAACACAUGCAAGUCGAACGGUAACAGGAAGCAGCUUGCUGCUUUGCUGACGAGUGGCGGACGGGUGAGUAAUGUCUGGGAAACUGCCUGAUGGAGGGGGAUAACUACUGGAAACGGUAGCUAAUACCGCAUAACGUCGCAAGACCAAAGAGGGGGACCUUAGGGCCUCUUGCCAUCGGAUGUGCCCAGAUGGGAUUAGCUAGUAGGUGGGGUAACGGCUCACCUAGGCGACGAUCCCUAGCUGGUCGGAGAGGAUGACAAGCCACACGGGAACGGAGAGCCGGCCCAGACCCCGAGGGGAGGCAGCGGGGGGGAAUUUUGAAAAAGGGGGGAAAGCUGGAAGCAGCCAUCCGGGGUGAAGGAGGAAGGCUUUCGGUUUGUAAAGUCUUUUGAGGGGGGGGGAAGGGAGUAAAUUUAAUCCCUUCGCUCUUUGACGUUACCCAAAAAAGAAGCACCGGCUAACCCGGUG